Long non-coding RNA from Thunnus maccoyii (southern bluefin tuna), 426 nucleotides. RefSeq lists it as uncharacterized. The transcript is spliced from 3 exons. The record is from RefSeq and is a predicted model, not a curated record. NCBI's taxonomy places the organism in Eukaryota, Metazoa, Chordata, Actinopteri, Scombriformes, Scombridae.
CGGAAGGAUUGGCCAGGAACUCCAUUAUCUCAGCAACAAGGAAUGAGAAAUGAAAUUAAAACCCCCAAAACAAGGUGUCGGCUGAGGUUUUGGUGGAAACAUAAUAUGGAUGGAGCCUAUGCAUGAAGUACUGGGAUCACUUUGGCCAUUGUGGGUCUCCUGUACAGUCAACAUGAAGAAGCUUCAGUGCAUCACUGAGACAGUCUUGCAUCUUUUUUUUUUUUAAUCCAACCAAAAUGUUGAAUAAGCUGGUAAAGCAUCUGCUGUGAUUUUAGAAAUCCUCAAAAGUAAUUUCCAUUCAACAUGCUGUGCGUCUGCCUCCAAGCUUUUGCCAUGGUUGUUGUGUCUGGCUGGUGACGAGCUGCUCUUGUUGUGACUCUUUUACUUCCCAGUAUUAUUUAUUUUGUAUGUUACUGAUGUGUUUUG